CCUGGCGGCAGUAGCGCGGUGGUCCCACCUGACCCCAUGCCGAACUCAGAAGUGAAACGCCGUAGCGCCGAUGGUAGUGU
RNAcentral lists this ribosomal RNA (80 nucleotides) under Escherichia coli. The record is from RNAcentral. RNAcentral also lists the same sequence under 4 other names. Lineage: Bacteria; Pseudomonadati; Pseudomonadota; Gammaproteobacteria; Enterobacterales; Enterobacteriaceae.